This 297-nucleotide long non-coding RNA is filed under the name Phaseolus vulgaris (common bean). Its description in RNAcentral is "long non-coding RNA (PVUL_LNC003087)". Lineage: Eukaryota; Viridiplantae; Streptophyta; Magnoliopsida; Fabales; Fabaceae. The record is from RNAcentral.
AAUUUGAAUCAAUAGGUUGUUUGGAAUACCUCUUUCUCUGCUGAGUUCUGUCACGGUUUUUCUUUCUAAGAAAUCUGCUGAAUUUCCUGGUGAGCAGACUCACAGUCUCAUCAUGUUCUGGAUCACCUUCUUCCUCACUUGCAUCAUGUUCUAUGGUAGUUUUCAGAGCAAUUCCUUUGGCCUUCUUUUCCACUGUUUCUUGUUCUUUCAAUCUUUUCAGCUCAAUUUCAUGUUCUAUCAGCUUUCCAAAAAGUGCAGCAGUGGAGAUCUUGGAUAAAUCUCUGGAUUCUGAGAUUG